This 463-nucleotide ribosomal RNA is filed under the name Vreelandella stevensii. RNAcentral's name for it is "partial 16S ribosomal RNA". It matches the Rfam family "Bacterial small subunit ribosomal RNA", at positions 340 to 795 of the family's 1533-position model. The record is from RNAcentral. Lineage: Bacteria; Pseudomonadati; Pseudomonadota; Gammaproteobacteria; Oceanospirillales; Halomonadaceae.
CUCGGGCGGCAGCAGUGGGGAAUAUUGGACAAUGGGCGAAAGCCUGAUCCAGCCAUGCCGCGUGUGUGAAGAAGGCCUUCGGGUUGUAAAGCACUUUCAGUGGGGAAGAAAGCCUUGGGGCUAAUACCCUCGAGGAAGGACAUCACCCACAGAAGAAGCACCGGCUAACUCCGUGCCAGCAGCCGCGGUAAUACGGAGGGUGCGAGCGUUAAUCGGAAUUACUGGGCGUAAAGCGCGCGUAGGCGGUCUGAUAAGCCGGUUGUGAAAGCCCCGGGCUCAACCUGGGAACGGCAUCCGGAACUGUCAGGCUAGAGUGCAGGAGAGGAAGGUAGAAUUCCCGGUGUAGCGGUGAAAUGCGUAGAGAUCGGGAGGAAUACCAGUGGCGAAGGCGGCCUUCUGGACUGACACUGACGCUGAGGUGCGAAAGCGUGGGUAGCAAACAGGAUUAGAUACCCCAGUAGUC